RNAcentral lists this ribosomal RNA (484 nucleotides) under uncultured bacterium. RNAcentral describes it as "partial 16S ribosomal RNA". It matches the Rfam family "Bacterial small subunit ribosomal RNA", at positions 30 to 507 of the family's 1533-position model. The record is from RNAcentral.
AUUGAACGCUGGCGGCAGGCCUAACACAUGCAAGUCGAGCGGAUGAAGGGAGCUUGCUCCUGGAUUCAGCGGCGGACGGGUGCGUAAUGCCUAGGAAUCUGCCUGGUAGUGGGGGAUAACGUCCGGAAACGGGCGCUAAUACCGCAUACGUCCUGAGGGAGAAAGUGGGGGAUCUUCGGACCUCACGCUAUCAGAUGAGCCUAGGUCGGAUUAGCUAGUUGGUGGGGUAAAGGCCUACCAAGGCGACGAUCCGUAACUGGUCUGAGAGGAUGAUCAGUCACACUGGAACUGAGACACGGUCCAGACUCCUACGGGAGGCAGCAGUGGGGAAUAUUGGACAAUGGGCGAAAGCCUGAUCCAGACAUGCCGCGUGUGUGAAGAAGGUCUUCGGAUUGUAAAGCACUUUAAGUUGGGAGGAAGGGCAGUAAGUUAAUACCUUGCUGUUUUGACGUUACCAACAGAAUAAGCACCGGCUAACUUCGUG